This 436-nucleotide ribosomal RNA is filed under the name uncultured bacterium. Its description in RNAcentral is "partial 16S ribosomal RNA". It matches the Rfam family "Bacterial small subunit ribosomal RNA", at positions 342 to 795 of the family's 1533-position model. The record is from RNAcentral.
CCUACGGCAGCAGUGGGGGAUAUUGCACAAUGGGGGAAACCCUGAUGCAGCGACGACGCGUGAGUGAAGAAGUAUUUCGGUAUGUAAAGCUCUAUCAGUAGGGAAGAAAAUGACAGUACCUGACUAAGAAGCCCCGGCUAACUACGUGCCAGCAGCCGCGGUAAUACGUAGGGGGCAAGCGUUAUCCGGAUUUACUGGGUGUAAAGGGGGCGUAGACGGUUGUGUAUGUCUGGAGUGAAAGCCCGGGGCCCAACCCCGGGACUGCUUUGGAAACUGUGUAACUGGAGUACAGGAGGGGCAGGCGGAAUUCCUGGUGUAGCGGUGAAAUGCGUAGAUAUCAGGAGGAACACCAGCGGCGAAGGCGGCCUGCUGGACUGAAACUGACGUUGAGGCUCGAAAGCGUGGGGAGCAAACAGGAUUAGAUACCCCAGUAGUC